RNAcentral lists this ribosomal RNA (583 nucleotides) under Papulosa sp. RNAcentral's name for it is "partial large subunit ribosomal RNA". It matches the Rfam family "Eukaryotic large subunit ribosomal RNA", at positions 52 to 654 of the family's 3401-position model. Lineage: Eukaryota; Fungi; Ascomycota; Sordariomycetes; Papulosaceae. The record is from RNAcentral.
GGAGGAAAAGAAACCAACAGGGAUUGCCUUAGUAACGGCGAGUGAAGCGGCAAUAGCUCAGAUUUGAAAUCUGGCCUUUGGGCCCGAGUUGUAAUCUGUAGAGGAUGCUUCGGGCAAGGUGCCUUCCGAGUCCCCUGGAACGGGGCGCCAAAGAGGGUGAGAGCCCCGUACGGUUGGAUACCAAGCCCAGGUGAAGCUCCUUCGACGAGUCGAGUAGUUUGGGAAUGCUGCUCAAAAUGGGAGGUAAAUUUCUUCUAAAGCUAAAUACCGGCCAGAGACCGAUAGCGCACAAGUAGAGUGAUCGAAAGAUGAAAAGCACUUUGGAAAGAGGGUUAAAAAGUACGUGAAAUUGUUGAAAGGGAAGCGCUUGCGACCAGACUCGCGCCUCGUGGAUCAUCCGGUGUUCUCACCGGUGCACUCCACGUGGCUCGGGCCAGCAUCGGUUCGCCCAGGGGGAUAAAAGCUCUGGGAAUGUGGCUCUCUUUUUGGGAGUGUUAUAGCCCGCUGCAGAAUACCCCUGGCGCGGACCGAGGACCGCGCCUUGUGCAAGGAUGCUGGCGUAAUGGUCGUCAGCGACCCGUCU